Molecule: microRNA precursor, 72 nt
Filed under: Drosophila pseudoobscura
Lineage: Eukaryota; Metazoa; Arthropoda; Insecta; Diptera; Drosophilidae
Description: microRNA dps-mir-2571 precursor
Source: miRBase by way of RNAcentral
AUGUGAGUGGUGAUGAUGAUCAAUAUUGGGAUAUGCUUUUCUGACUAAUAGGUUAUCUGACUUAUCUCACAU